GGGGGCGUAUGAGUUCCGGUGGACUUCGCGGACUUCAAAUCCGUUGGGGGGCCCAGAAGGUCUUCGGUGGGUUCGACUCCCAUACGCUCCCGCCA
This 95-nucleotide transfer RNA is filed under the name Dehalococcoidia bacterium. RNAcentral describes it as "tRNA-Sec". It matches the Rfam family "Selenocysteine transfer RNA". The record is from RNAcentral. Lineage: Bacteria; Bacillati; Chloroflexota; Dehalococcoidia.